This 251-nucleotide ribosomal RNA is filed under the name uncultured prokaryote. Its description in RNAcentral is "partial 16S ribosomal RNA". It matches the Rfam family "Bacterial small subunit ribosomal RNA", at positions 525 to 775 of the family's 1533-position model. The record is from RNAcentral.
ACGUAGGGUGCGAGCGUUAAUCGGAAUUACUGGGCGUAAAGCGUGCGCAGGCGGCUCUAUAAGACAGAUGUGAAAUCCCCGGGCUUAACCUGGGAACUGCGUUUGAAACUACAAGGCUAGAGUGUGGCAGAGGGGGGUGGAAUUCCACGUGUAGCAGUGAAAUGCGUAGAGAUGUGGAGGAACACCGAUGGCGAAGGCAGCCCCCUGGGACAUGACUGACGCUCAGGUACGAAAGCGUGGGGAGCAAACAG